RNAcentral lists this long non-coding RNA (7956 nucleotides) under Daucus carota (carrot). RNAcentral describes it as "long non-coding RNA (DCAR_LNC000916)". Lineage: Eukaryota; Viridiplantae; Streptophyta; Magnoliopsida; Apiales; Apiaceae. The record is from RNAcentral.
AUACGAGCUAUAUACAUCAUCCUGUUUAUAGUUCAACUUCAUGAAGAUCAUCCCCGUAGCUGCCACCAUUUGCUGACGAGUGUACUAAGGCAGGACUAGGAGGCAUGUACAGUGAGGGAGGCACUCCUAGCACCUCUCCUAGAGGUUUUUUUCAGUGUCACUGGGAGGACUAUAAGAAUCGGCGAUGCUGCCACUCCAUGAUGCUGUUCGUCGGGAAUAAGCAGGAAGGAAUUCAUUGUCAAUGCCAGGAGUUGCUGCCCUCCUCUUUGAGAGGUCAACCAUACUUGCAUUCUUUUGCAUGUUCAUAAAUGAUGAUGGGGCAGAGGACUGAACUGGGUCGCUGAACGAUGCUAAAUUACCAGGAGUGGUUUGUUCACUUCCAUCAACAGCAGAAUCCAGCGUCUGUAACUCUGUCCGGAAACUGGUGCAGGAACAAAAAUUUUUGGGCUAGCGUUGCUUUUGGCCUUAACUGAAGGCACAGAUGGUGACUGGAACAUGUUUGUUUGAUUUCCACCACCUUUGUUAAAGGUGUAAACAUACCUAAAAAACUCCAAAACCAUGAAAGUCAGAAGGUAAAUGGAAACUGAAAGAAAUAAAAAUUUCUGCUGCUUCAAGUUACUCUUUAGAAAAACUUUAAUGUAAUACUUUCAGGGGGGGUAAGCAUUUACCUACCUCAAACUAAUUUUUUAUUAAACAUGAAGCCAAAUGUCUUGCCAGAUAGUACAAUGCAAAAGUCUAACACAAGUUCUAGAUACAAUGCCAUCGUCUACCAGAUGUUCUAAAUACAGUCUGCAGACUGAAUAACUCCUUAACUAACAAUUGAUGUAUCAGCAAUUCACAACAAUCCACCAUAUUUGCCAGGACUAGUGAUUCCUUAAGCUCAUCAAAAAAACACCAUGUUAGGCUGUUCUAACUGUGUUUAAGUUACAUAAGAAUCACUUAAUGAUACAAAUACCUGACACUAAUCUCAUGCCUAUGAUCUGAUCACUAUGUUAGCCUCCUAGCCAGAGAAAACUCCGCAAGUACUUGUAUCCAGGACUUAUUUACGUCUCCUUAAAGAUAUUGCUAACUAUUUCAUAUUGUUAAUGAUACUAACUCAUCAAUCACGACAGCAAAUCCAUUAAGGUCAAAAGACUAAAAAUGCAGGUGACAAUACUGGACUUAAACCAUCCAGUCUUACAAAGUUAAGAACUAUAUUCAGGUCAAAGCCUACUUGAAAGAAAUAUCUUCUUUAACCGACUGUCUUCUGCUGCUCAACAGUAGCAUACUUAAUAGGAAAAUUUAAAGCAUAUAACAUACAUUUCAAUUGAACUUUGAGUUACCUUGAUCUAACUCCCAUCCGUCCGCGAGCUGAAAACUGGUUUGAGGUGGGUGGAAUUGGUGGAAUUCCUGAACUAUGUACCAAAGAAGUAGGGCCUCAUUGGUCUGGGCUUCCAUUACUGCGGGGUCCUUCAUUUUUCAAGGCACUAUUCAGGUUGUAAUCUGAUGUUCCAUUUGGGAAGGCUGCAGUGGUAGGUGGAGGUGGUAGUGCAGCUUCCUCUGCUGCCGUAAUUGCUACCAGAUGUCGAUGAUGCAGGAGGUGGUAGGGUUCCAACAACACGAGAAGCCGUGCUAUCAAAUAAAUUAAGCAAUUUACCUACUAACUUUGCAGGAGCCAAGUUUGUUGAGAAACCACCCUGCACAAAGAAAACCGCUUACUAAGAUAUGUAAAAGUAAACUACUGAUAAAAAAAUUGAGAAGACAGAGAGUUGCCUGUUGGUGAGUCUUUAUCCUCUCCUCAAGAGAUGAUGCCAACUGUCUCCACGUUUCCACUUCAGGUGCUCAACCAGUUUUCAGAGAUUUCAGUACUGCUUGACAGUACCUAAUAUAUAUAUAUAUAUAUAUAUAUAUAUAUAUAUAUAUAUGAGCUAGAAACCAAAGGAGACUUUAAAGAAUCUUUAAAAAAAAAUGAGAAUGUACUUCAAUGAAUCUGAUACUCUUCCCACUUCGGGCACCAUGUGUGCAUAUACAAGCUUAUAUGGUUGAAAUGGUAGCAGUGUGAAUUGGGAGUUCCCAAGCAACCUUGAGUAUUCAUAUAUCUCUGUCCUCUGUACAUGGAAACAGAGCUAGUAUGCUGUCCCUGAAACAGUGAUAAUCAUAUAUGAAUGAGUAAGCAACUCUUCCCUCGAAGAGAAAGAAACUAGAAUUUAUACAAACAUAUAUCAACAACCUGAAAUGUUUGCAUAUCAUUGCAAUGGGAUCUGAAAUUUGUAAAUUGGAUUCCCAUAGCAAUCUUUCACUGUAGUCAGUUCAUACAGUGGUUCCUUAUGGAUGUUCUCACACUUUGCUAUCUAAACCCUCAAUAUAUUGUCACACUUUGCUAUCUAAACCCUCAAUAUAGUUUUCUAACAUAUCCUUCAAUUUUUAUUGCAGAGGGAACCUACCAUGAUCCUUUAAAUUUAGUAGGACCAGUGUUCAAGAAAGCAGAAAAGGUGAAUCAGAUCUAAAAUGCUUCGAAUAUCCAGUUAUCGCUUCAUUGGACUGUUAAGCUGUUAAGAAACCUAUUAAGCUAAUUAAGCAGUCAAAAAAAUCUUAAGCAGCACCGACCGCUAUUUUUUUACAUCUGAAAUAUAAUAGCGAUAAAGAACUGUAAAUCGGAACGACCUACAUUUGUUAAGAAACUGUGUGUUCAGAUUGUUGUUAAUUACAAUUUGACUUUGCUCUUGCAUAGAUGGUAUUAUAUUUCAAAAAUUCCAAGUAUGUAGUGAUGAUCAGAUCAAAAAUCUGCUUAAGCACUCAAAGGCUCUCCGCUGCUUAGCUCUUUUUAGAGCAUUGAGUAUGACCAAGUCAAAUUCAAAGGCAAGUCAGAAAUCCUGAUGACAGAUGAUAUCAACUUACAGACGGGAAGAACCUAACAGAGGAAACUGCUGUAUACUAGUAAGAGAAAGGAAGAUAUACCGAGUCAGGGAACUGAAUGGAACCUUAAUAGCUUCUGGACUAGCAUAUGUUCAUGGGAAUUUGAAAUGGUCCGCACCAACUAUCCUAAAACCAUAAACAAAGUAAGACUAAUACUAAAAUAGCCUAGAUAACACCGUAUACAUAUAUGACUAAGAAGAGCUAUUGUGACUACAUCAAAGGAAUGUCUCAAACAGGCUUCCACAUACUUCUCCUGUCAAUUGUUAGCUUGAAUCACCCAGCUUGGGAGAACAAUCACAAAGUCAUCUGUAAUCCUCUAAAGAGAAAUUUCCUCCUCCAUCGAUAAUCUUUCUUUACAGCUUGCUUGCUUCAUCACCAAAUAAAAACUAUGGAUAGGUUGCAUUUGUUUAGUACUGAACUAAAGAUAUGCACUAUGCUGUCGAGAGUACUGGAUUUCAUGAUGAAUUUUGUUAGCAUGCUAAUAAUGAUCACUUGCAAUAUAUGCUAACCGUCACCACUAAUUAGCAGAAUAGUAGCGGUGGCAAAGCUGCAUUUUCCCAGCCACUUCAUGCUGUAAACUCCCCUUCAAAAUGUUGAACUGAAGCUUCCAUGAGGCAUUUGUCCCUGGAAUUUGGAGAGACUACUUUUCCAGUUUUCCUAGUGGUUCCAUGAAAGACCUUAUGUUUUUUGCAACUUCCUUAGACUGUGGAUACUUCUGUGGUUUAAAAAGUUUCGACAACCCGACAGGAUGCUGAUUUUUUAGGUUAACUUGUUCUGCAAAUCUUCCAUAUAUUUUUUCACACUCAGGGUAUGGCUUCACAUAUAAAUUGUGAAACUUUAAUCUAGUAAGCUUAAUUAAAGACUUCAAUCCCACCUCUUCACCAAGCCCGCCUAUUGAUCUCAAAUACUCAAUGACAUUGUGCCGUGGAACAAUCUGUUUCUCAAAACUAAUUCCCAGAUACUCUGGAACAUCCAGCAGCCACUGAACAUCAAGUUUCAUCUCAUUUAACAAAAAAUCAAUCUUCCUCUCAAUUUCCUUUAAAUCAUAUAAAAUCAUCCUUGGUUCCCUCCAAAUAAUACUUAAAGCCUCUCUGCGUAUCAAUCCAUAUUUGCAUAGGCAAUCAACCCUCAGUUUCACUUCAUACCCGGCCCUAAAAGUUCCUUCCUUCAAAAUCUCCUCUUUUACUGAAAGUCGACACUUUAAACUCCUCAGCAUCCUCAAACAUUGAGAAAGCUCUCCUACUUCUAACCCAAUAACUCUCGGGUCUCUCACAAUCCCUUUCUUAACCUCACCCCGACUAUAACCCAAAUCCCUAAAUUCACUCAUCAACGGUAUCAACCUAUUUUCCACCCCAAACGACAGAAACUCGGGAAACUUCCCUAAAACCCAAUCAAUACCCCUCCUCUCGAGUCCCAUUCUUUCCAAGAACCUAACUUUAUCCAAAAUGCUCUCCUCANAGUCCCAUUCUUUCCAAGAACCUAACUUUAUCCAAAAUGCUCUCCUCACCUGCCAUAAUCACCAUCGGAUUCACCUCCAAAACCUUCUCAACAGUAUCACUACCAAACCCGAAAUUCCUAAAACUUUCCACGCAACGAAAAAAAUCACAUGGGCUUAGCUCAAAUUUCCUAGAAAUCGCAACAACAUUCUUAACAGCCAAUGAAGAAAAAUCAAAAACCCCACUUUCCUUAAACCCCAUUUUCCAUCUCUCAAGAAACUCAAGUUCAAGAACAUUAGGACAACUAUAUACAACUGAAGCAACAAACUUGGGACAUGACUUCAAAGAUAACAAUAUUUUCAGUGACUUCUCAAUAUCAGAAGAGCUGUAAUUCAAUAAAAAAUGAUUCUUUUUCAGAAAAUCAGUGAGCUCAGAAGCUUGAAACCCAUACCUUUGAAACACAUGUAAAUGUGAUUUCUGUGAGAGUUGCUGAGAACUAUGAAUUGGGUCAUUGGAUUCGGUUGAAAACGAGACGGGUUUUGAGUUUGAGAGUAAAAAGAUUGAAUCUUGAGAUGAUACUAUUAAGCUGUACAAGAAUGAAUUGGGCUUCUUAAGAACACUUAUCGCCAUUAAUCAGAAAAUAGACAGGCACAAUAUGAAAAUUAUGGGUGUCUAUAUAUCUUUUUGGUGUUCGAUAGGAAUAGGAAAAUAAGAGAAGAGGGACUUGCAGCAAGUACAGGAGUGUCCCGGUGUCUAGUGAUUGCCUUGACACCAUUUUCUUCCGACUUCUUUGUUUUAUUUCGUAUUUUCGUAAGGGAAUUGACAAAUAAACUUCACAUUUUUCUAUUUAAGUUCCAAUUUCAAAUUUUAUAGCAUGUUUAUCAAUACAUUUUUCACAUUUUUCAAAAUUAAAUUGGAGUUUCAAUAAUAAAAUUUAGAGUUUAUUUAUCAAUUUCCUUUGUUAAUUGACUCAUGAAAUCAGAUUUUACUAAGAACAAAGAAAGCGGGAGGUUUUAGUAAAGUCACAUGUUUUAGAAAAGAAAACAACAAACAAAAAAAAGCAUUCAAAGAAGACAAUAUUUAGAAAGUAUCAAAAUUUGGUUGUUAUCAUAUAAAUUUUUAUUUAAUAAUAAGGAUUGUUAUGCUAUUUUGUUCAAAAAAAAAAAGAUUGUUAUACUACUAAAAAAAGAUUGUCAUAUUACUUUAUAACGUACCGAUUAUCCCACUAACGAACUACAUUACCAACAAAAGAUUUUGUUUUUGUUUUUAAAACUCAAACAAUUUAAUUUGCAAAACAACUAUAAAAUUUAUAUCAUUUCAAAAUUUCAAUAAAUAAGAAGUCUACAUUAAUAUUAUUAGACAAAUCAAGAUCAAUACAAAAUUUAAUUUAAUCAUUACUUUCAUAAUAUUUCGAUAAAAAAAUAAGAUGGAGUAACAAAAACACAAAUUUUGUGAGAAUGAAAUGAGUGUCUUUGAUAUCAUCAUCAAUUAAAAAAACACAACUCCAAAGAGGAUCAAGGUUCGAAGACAAAAACUUCACUUAAAAUUGUAGAGAAUAAUUGUUGAUGACUGAUGUAACUAUUAAUUCCACUUAAAACGAGGAAACAACUUAAACACAACAACCCAAUCUAUUGACAAACUGCCCUCACAUGGUCUCCACCUAUAACUCCAACAGCCACUGAGCCAUUUUUAUAAACUCCAUUGCAAUUAAACUUCUUCUUACUCAGAAGGGGAGGGAUAGAGGGAUCCACUAUAAUAAAGAAUCGACACUCAAGUUUCUAGACUCUAAACAUGAUGUUUAUAACAAAGAUACAAGUUUUGUCUAAACUUUCACACUAGUCUUGAUCAUCGAAACUGGACAAACUAGUCUUGAUCAUCGAAACUGGACAAACUAGAACAUGUUCUUAAACGAAUUUAUUUUUAGAUACUCACACAGACCAUUCCAUAAAAGCAAUUUUGAAAGAGAAUACAACACAUUCUUCUUGGACUCAAACAGAGAUAUCAUAUCAUAGAAGAUAACCACUAUAAUAGAAUUUGAAGGUAGGGAAGAUCGUAAAAGACUUAAGGGAGAUGAAAACCAAACAGGAUGUGUCCAAUCAGGCAAUCACACUCAAAGAGCAUGUACUCCACAUUUGCAUCCUUAUUUUUACAAAUUGAACAUAAACGAGGAGAAAUUUUCUUCUAAAAAGAUUUUCUUUUGUCGAACAAAUUCUCCACAAGAAAUAUUUCAGUUUUGGCGGAGCAAAGAUGGAUCAUAAAAACUUCCAAAAAGAUUUGUUUGGAUUCGAAAAAGAAAAAGCAUGCUGAGUAAAAGAUUCUUUAAGGUUUAGAGUAACAUAAUGACCAGAUUUGACAGUAUAGUUUCCAUUACAGGAAUCUGACUUCAUAAGAAACCAUGAUAUGCAUAUAUUUGCUUCUGAAAAAUCUUGCACCAAAUUAAUGUGUGAUCCAUACAUACUAAAUACUUGUAUGAGCAUCAUGAUUCACGAUCAGACUAAUGAUUCAAAGAACUAACUUAUAUCCCAUCUUUGCAAGGGCAUGAAAAUGAAAACAAAUUCUUCUUUGGCUAUGGCCUUGAGAAUUUGCUUUAGCUGAUACACAUCAAUCUCUCUGAGUACUAACGCAAACUUCUUCCAAUCAAGAAUGUCAUUCAACGGGGAGAUGAUAGUAAUCAGACAGUAUAACAGAAAAGAUAGAAGAUGAGACACAUUAAUUAGAACCAUGUUAAAAAAUGAUUAUAUGUAGUGAAUAAUAAUUCUCCACCUAGAUUAAGCAGAAGCAAUUUUUAAUCUCCCUAUUUGUUCAUUCCAAGCAGAAAUCUAAUAUAAAACGCAGCAAAUGAAGAAAACUCUAGGCAGCUACAUUAUUCCUCAAGUAUUUAUGCUGUACUCAUUCAAGAGAUCAUCCUCACUUUAAUAGAUGACAAAAUUGUGUACUGUACAGUGUACAGCAGUGGGCUAACACUCCUUUGCUUUAGUGUAUAACCAUCAGGCUCUGAGUGCCGAUGAUGCAAGUAUUUCGGCAAAUAACAAAACCUAAACACUAAACAUACAAGACGGAACUAAGUAAGCCGUGUGAAGUAUGUAUUGCACAAGGGUAAACAAAAACAAAAAUAUCUUUUCUUGUCUGCUCGUCUUCAUAGUUUCAGGUCUUUAUUACUAUCUGGGAUGUCAAGCUGGUAUCUUCAGAUUAAUUGCAUAGAGCAAUACGAGCUAUAUACAUCAUCCUGUUUAUAGUUCAACUUCAUGAAGAUCAUCCCCAUAGCUGCCACCAUUUGCUGACGAGUGUACUAAGGCAGGACUAGGAGGCAUGUACAGUGAGGGAGGCACUCCUAACACCUCUCCUAGAGGUUUUAUUUCAGUGGCACUGGGAGGACUAUAAGAAUCGGCAAUGCUGCCACUCCAUGAUGCUGUUCGUCGGGAAUAAGCAGGAAGGAAUUCAUUGUCAAUGCCAGGAGUUGUUGUCCUUCUCUUUGAGAGGUCAUCCAUACUUGCAUUCUUUUGCAUGUUCAUAGAUGAUGACGGGGCAAAGGACUGAACUGGGUCGCUGAAGGAUGCUAAAUUACCAGAAGUGGUUUGUUCACUUCCAUCCACAGCAGAAUCCAGUGUCUGUCCGGAUACUUGUG